CAGACUCCUGUCUUACCUCGGAUUUCGGUGCUGUCAGUCUGAAAAACAGACGUCCAUUUGGUACUCUAGACGGACUGUCCUUCCCUGAUCUAAAGCUGGGCCAUUUGGAGAUUUGGAGAACAAAGGUUGUCGGCUGUGAUUGUAGCAGAGUCCUGAGCUCCUGUGGAGAUUUGCCUCUCUCCAGCCUUGGGCUAUCUGCAUUCUUGAACAGCUCAGGACCCAGAAGGAAAAGAAGAAUGCUGACCUGCUCUGGGGAUGGCCUGAAUGAAGAGAGGAGACUGGAAAACACUUGACAGAGGUAAUAUGGACCCAGAGAGAACUGAAUCCUUGUGCCCAGUGACUAGAAGAUGCAUGAACCUGGAAAAAGGAGCCUAGAAGAUCGCCAUGUUUCCCCCACAUAGGAGAACACUCACCCCUUCCCGCCCCUCGCCCGUAACACAUGAAACAUUUAGCAGUGAUCGAUCACUACUGAGGUAUCUUCAUUUAAUGUGGUUUUGACGGAACAGUUGGUCUGGAAAUUUUAUUUUCAAUUAAACUUCCUUGUUGAACUGCUUUGGUUGUGAAAGGAUUCCAUUAGGAUGGGUAAUUAUAUAGCAGUUGCUACAAGGAGAUAUUUGCAGUCAGUUUCCGCUCUUAGGUGAUUCAAAUCAAAUGCUUUUUCUUUUCCUCCCUGGAGCUGUGUGCGACCCUCUUCCUCAUACUAUAGGCUUCUCAUGAGUUAUUUUGGGAAAUCCAAAUCGAAACAGCAAUUUUGGC
RNAcentral lists this long non-coding RNA (756 nucleotides) under Ursus americanus (American black bear). RNAcentral describes it as "lncRNA (ENSUAMG00000024258.1)". The stretch from base 4 to 125 matches the Rfam family "Pvt1 oncogene conserved region 5". Lineage: Eukaryota; Metazoa; Chordata; Mammalia; Carnivora; Ursidae. The record is from RNAcentral.